Molecule: ribosomal RNA, 428 nt
Filed under: uncultured Chlamydiae bacterium
Lineage: Bacteria; Pseudomonadati; Chlamydiota; Chlamydiia
Description: bacterial SSU rRNA
Rfam family: Bacterial small subunit ribosomal RNA
Source: RNAcentral
AACGCGAAGAACCUUACCUGGGCUCGAAAUGUAGAGGACGAUAUCAGAGAUGAUAUUUCUCGAAAGGGUCUUUACAUAGGUGCUGCAUGGCUGUCGUCAGCUCGUGCCGUGAGGUGUUUGGUUAAGUCCAGCAACGAGCGCAACCCUUAUCGUUAGUUGCCAACGCGUAAAGGCGGGAACUCUAACGAGACUGCCUGGGUUAACCAGGAGGAAGGUGAGGAUGACGUCAAGUCCGCAUGGCCUUUAUGUCCAGGGCUACACACGUGCUACAAUGGUCGGUACAGAAGGCAGCGAAACCGUAAGGCGGAGCAAAUCCUGUAAAACCGAUCUCAGUUCAGAUUGUAGACUGCAAUUCGUCUACAUGAAGUUGGAAUUGCUAGUAAUGGCGUGUCAGCAACAACGCCGUGAAUACGUUCCCGGGCCUUGUA